Molecule: long non-coding RNA, 374 nt
Organism: Echinops telfairi (small Madagascar hedgehog)
Lineage: Eukaryota; Metazoa; Chordata; Mammalia; Afrosoricida; Tenrecidae
Exons: 3
Source: RefSeq, a predicted model, not a curated record
GGGGACUGCGCCAAGCCCCAGGGCCUGCUGCUCCCCGCCCUCCGGAAGAGAGAGGGGUCCAGAAACUCAUGGGAGACGCGAAAGACACUUUGAAGGCUGCGAGAGGGGCUUGACCCAGCGUUGGCACAGGAUACGGGACGGGAAGCCGCGUGGGGAGAGGUGAUAAGGGCCCACAGAUGGUAACAUCCUGUGUAUCCUGUCUUUCACUUAAACACGGAGUUUUGUGAAUUUCUGGAAGUGCUUGUGAAAGAUCAAACCCACAGGAGCUGCGGUCCUGUGCUCAAGGCUGGCCUGCAGGAAAACGACAGGUAAACCAUCCUGAAGCCAUGGGCUCUAGUGGGCAUAGCUUUCCUGGAAACUCACCUCUCAAGCAU